ACACUCCUACGGGAGGCAGCAGUGGGGAAUAUUGCACAAUGGGCGCAAGCCUGAUGCAGCCAUGCCGCGUGUAUGAAGAAGGCCUUCGGGUUGUAAAGUACUUUCAGCGGGGAGGAAGGCGAUAAGGUUAAUAACCUUGUUGAUUGACGUUACCCGCAGAAGAAGCACCGGCUAACUCCGUGCCAGCAGCCGCGGUAAUACGGAGGGUGCAAGCGUUAAUCGGAAUUACUGGGCGUAAAGCGCACGCAGGCGGUCUGUCAAGUCGGAUGUGAAAUCCCCGGGCUCAACCUGGGAACUGCAUUCGAAACUGGCAGGCUAGAGUCUUGUAGAGGGGGGUAGAAUUCCAGGUGUAGCGGUGAAAUGCGUAGAGAUCUGGAGGAAUACCGGUGGCGAAGGCGGCCCCCUGGACAAAGACUGACGCUCAGGUGCGAAAGCGUGGGGAGCAAACAGGAUUAGAUACCCCAGUAGUCCCAU
Molecule: ribosomal RNA, 474 nt
Filed under: uncultured organism
Description: partial 16S ribosomal RNA
Rfam family: Bacterial small subunit ribosomal RNA
Source: RNAcentral